This 496-nucleotide ribosomal RNA is filed under the name uncultured bacterium. Its description in RNAcentral is "partial 16S ribosomal RNA". It matches the Rfam family "Bacterial small subunit ribosomal RNA", at positions 28 to 507 of the family's 1533-position model. The record is from RNAcentral.
GACGAACGCUGGCGGCGUGCCUAAUACAUGCAAGUUGAGCGCUGAAGGUUGGUACUUGUACCAACUGGAUGAGCAGCGAACGGGUGAGUAACGCGUGGGGAAUCUGCCUUUGAGCGGGGGACAACAUUUGGAAACGAAUGCUAAUACCGCAUAAAAACUUUAAACACAAGUUUUAAGUUUGAAAGAUGCAAUUGCAUCACUCAAAGAUGAUCCCGCGUUGUAUUAGCUAGUUGGUGAGGUAAGGGCCCACAAGGCGAUGAUACAUAGCCGACCUGAGAGGGUGAUCGGCCACAUUGGGACUGAGACACGGCCCAAACUCCUACGGGAGGCAGCAGUAGGGAAUCUUCGGCAAUGGACGAAAGUCUGACCGAGCAACGCCGCGUGAGUGAAGAAGGUUUUCGGAUCGUAAAACUCUGUUGGUAGAGAAGAACGUUGGUGAGAGUGGAAAGCUCAUCAAGUGACGGUAACUACCCAGAAAGGGACGGCUAACUACGUG